AAAUUGAAGAGUUUGAUCAUGGCUCAGAUUGAACGCUGGCGGCAGGCCUAACACAUGCAAGUCGAACGGUAACAGGAAACAGCUUGCUGUUUCGCUGACGAGUGGCGGACGGGUGAGUAAUGUCUGGGAAACUGCCUGAUGGAGGGGGAUAACUACUGGAAACGGUAGCUAAUACCGCAUAACGUCGCAAGACCAAAGAGGGGGACCUUCGGGCCUCUUGCCAUCGGAUGUGCCCAGAUGGGAUUAGCUAGUAGGUGGGGUAACGGCUCACCUAGGCGACGAUCCCUAGCUGGUCUGAGAGGAUGACCAGCCACACUGGAACUGAGACACGGUCCAGACUCCUACGGGAGGCAGCAGUGGGGAAUAUUGCACAAUGGGCGCAAGCCUGAUGCAGCCAUGCCGCGUGUAUGAAGAAGGCCUUCGGGUUGUAAAGUACUUUCAGCGGGGAGGAAGGGAGUAAAGUUAAUACCUUUGCUCAUUGACGUUACCCGCAGAAGAAGCACCGGCUAACUCCGUGCCAGCAGCCGCGGUAAUACGGAGGGUGCAAGCGUUAAUCGGAAUUACUGGGCGUAAAGCGCACGCAGGCGGUUUGUUAAGUCAGAUGUGAAAUCCCCGGGCUCAACCUGGGAACUGCAUCUGAUACUGGCAAGCUUGAGUCUCGUAGAGGGGGGUAGAAUUCCAGGUGUAGCGGUGAAAUGCGUAGAGAU
RNAcentral lists this ribosomal RNA (707 nucleotides) under Bacteroides ovatus. Its description in RNAcentral is "bacterial SSU rRNA". It matches the Rfam family "Bacterial small subunit ribosomal RNA", at positions 1 to 697 of the family's 1533-position model. The record is from RNAcentral. Lineage: Bacteria; Pseudomonadati; Bacteroidota; Bacteroidia; Bacteroidales; Bacteroidaceae.